CGUGUCUCACAUCAUUGGAUAGUGCUCGGACUGAGCUUUCUAACGACAUAUUACACGUCGAAUUCCGACAAACGGUUUGAAAGAUAUGACCCCCGAAAGUUGACUCCAAAGUUCGGUAUCAGAUUACAUUCCGAGCAAUCAAAGGGUGCCACGUGGCGCCCAAACCCCUUUGUCCAAAAGCAAGCCUUUUGGGACAAUUCUCUCUAGUUUUUUUAGUCCCACAUCAGAAAUUUGAGAGAAUUGUCCCAAGUCCCAAGGCUAUAAGAAUAGCCAUUCCCCUCUUCCAAAGGGGAGGAGAAAAAUUGAGAAAAAUUUGAGAGAAGGAAUAUGGCCCCAUGAAGGUUUUUGCUAAUUCCCUCUCUCUAAAUAAAUAAUCUCUCAAAGUAUAAAAGUUUAAAUGUGUAAUCCUUCCUUGAGCCGGGAGACUUAGUCCGAUUCGGUUCGGUCCGAUUCGGUUCAAUCCGGUUUUGGCCUUGAAGCACAAGGGUUAUCUCCCCUUGUUUCUUGAUUAAAGCCGGCUUAAGAGGCUGAAAACCUACAAGGCCAAGUUAGUUGUCUUCCCAAUGAAAUUCAAGGCUGCUGAUUCUAGUCCUGAGGAAUUGGUCACUGCCACUCAAGUCCAAGAUAAUUACAUGCCCAUUGUACGGGAAGCCUAGUAAGAAUUAGCAUCUUAAUCUGCUGAUCCAAGAAUCAUGAGGAAUAUAAGAAUUUUUUAUCUUUUGAGAUCAAGCUAGUAUUUCAUUCUUGUUGAAAAAAAAGAUUUUGAAAUGAGAAGUUGAUUUAGUUA
Long non-coding RNA from Macadamia integrifolia, 787 nucleotides. RefSeq lists it as uncharacterized. Lineage: Eukaryota; Viridiplantae; Streptophyta; Magnoliopsida; Proteales; Proteaceae. The transcript is spliced from 3 exons. The record is from RefSeq and is a predicted model, not a curated record.